GAUGAACGCUGGCGGCGUGCCUAAUACAUGCAAGUCGAGCGAACAGACGAGGAGCUUGCUCCUCUGACGUUAGCGGCGGACGGGUGAGUAACACGUGGAUAACCUACCUAUAAGACUGGGAUAACUUCGGGAAACCGGAGCUAAUACCGGAUAAUAUAUUGAACCGCAUGGUUCAAUAGUGAAAGACGGUUUUGCUGUCACUUAUAGAUGGAUCCGCGCCGCAUUAGCUAGUUGGUAAGGUAACGGCUUACCAAGGCAACGAUGCGUAGCCGACCUGAGAGGGUGAUCGGCCACACUGGAACUGAGACACGGUCCAGACUCCUACGGGAGGCAGCAGUAGGGAAUCUUCCGCAAUGGGCGAAAGCCUGACGGAGCAACGCCGCGUGAGUGAUGAGGGUCUUCGGAUCGUAAAACUCUGUCAUUAGGGAAGAACAAAUGUGUAAGUAACUACGCACGUCUUGACGGUACCUAAUCAGAAAGCCACGGCUAACUACGUG
RNAcentral lists this ribosomal RNA (497 nucleotides) under uncultured bacterium. RNAcentral describes it as "partial 16S ribosomal RNA". It matches the Rfam family "Bacterial small subunit ribosomal RNA", at positions 28 to 507 of the family's 1533-position model. The record is from RNAcentral.